UACGUAGGGGGCAAGCGUUGUCCGGAAUCAUUGGGCGUAAAGAGCGCGUAGGCGGUCCGGUAAGUCAGCUGUGAAAGUCAUGGGCUCAACCCAUGAAAGCCGGUUGAUACUGUCGGGCUAGAGUCCGGAAGAGGCGAGUGGAAUUCCCGGUGUAGCGGUGAAAUGCGCAGAUAUCGGGAGGAACACCAAUGGCGAAGGCAGCUCGCUGGGACGGUACUGACGCUGAGGCGCGAAAGCGUGGGGAGCAAACAGG
This 253-nucleotide ribosomal RNA is filed under the name uncultured bacterium. RNAcentral describes it as "partial 16S ribosomal RNA". It matches the Rfam family "Bacterial small subunit ribosomal RNA", at positions 524 to 776 of the family's 1533-position model. The record is from RNAcentral.